RNAcentral lists this long non-coding RNA (98 nucleotides) under dengue virus type 1. Its description in RNAcentral is "dengue virus type I partial sfRNA1". Lineage: Riboviria; Orthornavirae; Kitrinoviricota; Flasuviricetes; Amarillovirales; Flaviviridae. The record is from RNAcentral.
GAGAAGUCAGGCCAGAUUAAGCCAUAGUACGGAAAGAGCUAUGCUGCCUGUGAGCCCCGUCCAAGGACGUAAAAUGAAGUCAGGCCGAAAGCCACGGA